This is a non-coding RNA of Paramormyrops kingsleyae, 1316 nucleotides long. NCBI's taxonomy places the organism in Eukaryota, Metazoa, Chordata, Actinopteri, Osteoglossiformes, Mormyridae. The record is from RefSeq and is a predicted model, not a curated record.
GUCAAGGCGAUGCGAUCCCUCCGCGAGACAAACGCUCACGCCUGCUCUCUUACCCACCACAUUCCCCGGGGCAGCUGCGGCUUCUGUUUGCUCAUCUUUCGAUUUGUUUUCCUCUCUUCACAACAGAGGCAGUUGGGCGAUGUCAUCCAGGGUGCCCCGUCGUGUGCCCUGUGCUUUCUGGGAUUGGUGCCAGGACUGCCACAAGCCCAUAUUGGGUUUCCCAGCUUCAGAAUCCUGGGAUGAGGUGUUUCAGCCUUAUUAGAGCACCGCCUCCCAGUCAUAUUCUGAAGGAGCUCGUCUGUAAUGGAGGAGAGGCCUGCCUCAAAGGCCGCAGCUGUGUUUACCGCAUUUGCGCUCAACAAAACGUCUUGUCGCAUUGAUGCGGGAGCGAAGAUAACUUCUCCUUUUAGCUCUCCAUCCUUCGCAAUCACUUCUCCUUGUAUGGCACUGUUAGCAGCCUCGCCUGUGUGGUACUUCUGCAGGCUUAAGGCUCAGCAGAGUGAAGUCAGUUAGAGGGUAAAUAAAGGCACAUUUCCUGUGAAUCAGAUUUUACAGAAAUGUAAAUCAUGCUAAUUAUUCAGGCAUAAGGGAUGUUGUUUUAAAAUGCCUGUGGCCUAGCACUGCCAGGAACGACAGAUCAAAAUACCCCACAUGUCAGAUAACAGGCAGGGGUAGUGCCCCCUCAGUGGUACCUGGAAAUAUGUCUCAUAUUCACCUUUUUAAGAAAACCGAUUAAGUCAGUAUCUUUCCAGGGUGACAGAAGAUUAAAAACUGGGUAUCUUCCAAUUAAUAUAAAACUUCUCAAUAGUGUUUUGGAUAAAUUUAGAAGCUUGCAGUCUCCUUUUUGUAUAUGCAUGGUGCCAGAGGAGUCCAUAUACUGAGGUACUGAGGGGGGAAAAAAUCCAGAUAUUUUUGUAAUACAGCUUGUUUUUCAUGCAACAGUAAUAAUCACAGAAAAUAUGGUUUUCAGGUUGCCAUAUUUUGGUUCUGAAAUAUGUUUUUAUAAGUUUAAUAUGUUUCUGUUAAACAACAGCUUUUUAAAAAUUCACAUUUGUGUUUAUGCAAAUUCCAUAGUACGGUGAAAAUACAGAGCUGGAAAGCGAUUUAGGCAAAGAAAACCUGUGUGUGUGUGGGUGUGGGUGUGUGCACAUCCAGGUUUGUUUGUUUCAUGUAAAUAUAAAUUGGGCUUUAAGUGGAAUUAUUAAUAUCACACUUGAAGCAGAAACAUAAAUUGUGAGUCACUGAAUUAAAUAUAAGAGCAUUCAUUUUUAAUGCUGCAGGACUGGGGAAACUUGGAAAAUGUUUAAGGUCAGCUA